RNAcentral lists this long non-coding RNA (337 nucleotides) under Androctonus crassicauda. Lineage: Eukaryota; Metazoa; Arthropoda; Arachnida; Scorpiones; Buthidae. The record is from RNAcentral.
UAGAGAACGGAGCUAAGUCGGUUGUUACUAAUAACAUGUCUUGCUCUCCAUCUAACAAUGCUGAUCACCAAAAGUGGAACGAAGAUGUAAUGCCGAUUUCACAUGAUGAUCAUUGGUAUUUAAAAAAGGGAAACGAUGGAGUGGCGGUAAUAAGAAGCAGGAAUAAAGACGAAAAAGAAAUAGCAGCAGAAUGGGAAACUUCAGACUAUCUAUCGGAAUCUAAGCCAAAGAAAUCUAUGAUCAGGCGAGAGGAAGAUAUAUUUUAAUUUCGCUAAUAUUCAAUAAAAAUUAAAAGACAUUACCGAGUUUAUUUCUUUUACAGACGACCAUAUCGAAC